ACAAAAAAAUGGAGGCAAAACGAAGCCACACAAAGGCAGCGCUCGCUUUCUCCACCGCCAGCUCACUAAUCGGCGUCUUUGCUGUGCUCGAUGCAUGCCUGUCACCCGUUACACGGCAGCAUUGCCAUGGAGACCGGGGUCUGAGUAAUCAUUUGUGCAAUGACCCCUAUUCUCUAGAGGGAAGACGAGGGGGGAGGAUGGAAUGAAAACAGAGCCGGCACAGGAAGGGAGGAGGAGGAGGAGGAAGAGGAAGAGGAAGAGGGGAGCAGCUCAGCAAAGCAGCAGGGACCCAGACAGAGAAAAAGAAAACAGAUUUUCUUUCUAGAGGCAGCAGAGAAGGAAGCUUUUCUGAUUUUAUACAACAAACAGGAGGAAAAACUGAAGGACAGAGAGAGUUUUAUACAAACUGGGUUUCAGGUCCGGAUCCCAACAGAACACAAGGCUAAAUUAUGGACAAGAACAAAAAGGACAAGACAAAGACAGCAUGAGAGCUAAGGCAGCAGCAUCCUUUAAACUGUGCAGUGGUAUCAUGUGUAAAUGACAGGGUUUGGCCUACAGGUGGUGUUAGAGAGAGGAACCAGAAAAGGGUUCAACCUGGAAGUUUACUCUCGGGAAAUCUUUUUAUGCACAUGUAUUAUUUAUAAAAUAAUUGUAUUCCUACAUGCAUUUAUACUUUUAGGCAAACACAUUGUAUUUUCUAGUGAGACCGUCUACCACACUGAACACCAGAACAAAAUGCAGUGGCUUAAAGAGAAUGAAUAAUUAAUAGCAUUCUAUAUACUUAAACAAGUGAAAAUAAGAAGGUAAAUCUGCCUUUCUUGUUUAAGAAGCAUUACACUAAUGUGAAGGUUGAUAGUUGGAUUAGUUAUGACCCAAUAGAAAAUCAUCUUGAUGGAAUAUUUAUCAUAUUUUUUACUGUGGCACAGCUGAUCUGUUUCUAAUGAUAAACGUGUUUUAUUCUCUGUUAUGUUGAUCUAAAAGCUGCAGCAGAAGCUCCAGAUGAGUUUACAUCAGAAAUUCAGCCUUUUUUUUCAGUUUAAUCAGUUUCAGUUUUUAAGUUUUUUUAUUACAUUUACACAUGUGCGAAUCCUUACUGGGAAUUACUGAAAUUCUGGAUUUUUCCAGAACCAAAUGUCUCUAAUGCUACUCAGCUCCCCACAACAGAACCAAACUACCUUAAAAUUGGAGCAGCACAAGAAUCCAGUUAUCAUCACAAGAUCAAUCUUAACAAUAUCUUGAUGGCAUUCGACUGCCUGGAUCUGGAUGUAAUAUUUGAUGUGGAUCUGAGUGUCCAGCAUGCUGAAGCUGCCAGGAAGAGCUGCAGGCUCCAUGAUGAUGAUCAUCAACACAGAUUCCCCGGAGAGGCUGAGCAACCCGAAUCCAGACCCUGGGGCAUCAAUCUUAUAAAAAAAAACCCUCCUUUUUCCAUCCCACCCCGACUGAACGCUGUUGCAGACACUUUCCAGGGCCUUGCAUGAGAAGACGGGGGGAAGGGCAAGGAGGAGGGAGGAAAGCGAGGAGGAGGAGACAGCCCAUAUUCCCUGGAGGAAAGAGUGAUUCACAGCAGCAUGUGGGGAAGGAAGUGACUCACGUUUGGGGCUCGCGCUCGCACACAAGCCCCGUGUCUGACGUUAAAAAAAAAGAAAUAAGGGCAUGAGUUGGAAAUGGCCACAUAUGUUGAUGGUAGGAAAAAGUCCCGGGCAUGCACGCAAAGAGGACGGUAUGUUUAUGCUUUCAAAGGCUUGUCUGAAACCGUAAACCAAGGAUAGCAAACAAGCUGGAAGUCAGGUCCAAACAGGACCAGCAAAAGAUCUGAGGAACAAAAAAAAAACUACCUCUGUGUCAUCAAGUGGACCUGCUUCCCGGCAAAAAAAGCUUUUAAUUCUUUUAGCAGUCAGCUUCACUUUAACAAAUAGUAAUGUUGCUAUGGUUACCAGUGCUUAAAUAAAAGUGAUAAAUGAACCAGAAGCUGAAAAAUGAAGUUUUUGACAAUGAGUUAAUUGAAAGUUAAUCUACACUGUGAGUCUAAGGAAAACGUCUGCUGCUUUAGAGUCAGAAUGCAGGUUUUAAGGCUCGUUUGACGGCAGAAGUUACAAUUUCAGACAAAAAAUUCU
Molecule: long non-coding RNA, 2114 nt
Organism: Girardinichthys multiradiatus
Lineage: Eukaryota; Metazoa; Chordata; Actinopteri; Cyprinodontiformes; Goodeidae
Exons: 3
Source: RefSeq, a predicted model, not a curated record